Molecule: ribosomal RNA, 401 nt
Filed under: uncultured bacterium
Lineage: Bacteria
Description: bacterial SSU rRNA
Rfam family: Bacterial small subunit ribosomal RNA
Source: RNAcentral
UGGGGAAUAUUGCACAAUGGGCGAAAGCCUGAUGCAGCAACGCCGCGUGAGUGAUGAAGGCCUUCGGGUUGUAAAGCUCUGUCUUCUGGGACGAUAAUGACGGUACCAGAGGAGGAAGCCACGGCUAACUUCGUGCCAGCAGCCGCGGUAAGACGAAGGGGGCAAGCGUUGUUCGGAAUUGCUGGGCGUAAAGGGCGCGUAGGCGGUUUGCUUAGUCAGGCGUGAAAGCCCUGGGCUUAACCUGGGAUGUGCGCUUGAUACUGGCAGGCUUGAGUGUGGUAGAGGUUGGUGGAAUUCCCAGUGUAGAGGUGAAAUUCGUGGAUAUUGGGAAGAACACCGGUGGCGAAGGCGGCCAACUGGACCACAACUGACGCUGAGGAGCGAAAGCGUGGGGAGCAAAC